Long non-coding RNA from Rattus norvegicus (Norway rat), 338 nucleotides. The record is from Ensembl. Lineage: Eukaryota; Metazoa; Chordata; Mammalia; Rodentia; Muridae.
CUGGCCUCAGACCCUGCACACCGUUGCAGACCUCUCAGAGCCACUGCGGCUGAGUCCUCAGCGGCCUCCAGCAGAGGGCUAGCUGCAUCUUUGGGGACAGCAAGACAGCUGGGAAGCAGCGAACAACGCGCAAGAGAGCGGCCAACACUGGGGAUGCGAGGUACCGGCAGUAGCCUUGGCCAAGUGGCCCUAGAGAGGGAGUAAAGGCCCAGCUUUCAGUUUUUCUCUUAAGGGUUGGAGGAAGGCGGUCUCAAGAGGAAAAGGAAGAAUGGAGUUUGGCUAAUUGGUACAGCUCUGCUGGAAGCGUGAGAAUAAACAGGUUGACUUUUUAAAUUUUC